RNAcentral lists this ribosomal RNA (401 nucleotides) under uncultured bacterium. RNAcentral's name for it is "bacterial SSU rRNA". It matches the Rfam family "Bacterial small subunit ribosomal RNA", at positions 29 to 416 of the family's 1533-position model. The record is from RNAcentral.
AACGAACGCUGGCGGCGUGCUUAACACAUGCAAGUCGAACGCGAAAGGGACUUCGGUCCUGAGUAAAGUGGCGCACGGGUGAGUAACGCGUGGAUAAUCUACCCGAUGGACCGGGAUAACAUUUCGAAAGGGGUGCUAAUACCGGAUAAGACCACGGGCUCUUCGGGGCUAGUGGUAAAAGGUGGGGACCUUCGGGCCUACCGUUAUCGGAUGAGUCCGCGUACCAUUAGCUAGUUGGUGGGUAAAGGCCUACCAAGGCGACGAUGGUUAGCUGGUCUGAGAGGAUGAUCAGCCACACUGGAACUGAGACACGGUCCAGACUCCUACGGGAGGCAGCAGUGGGGAAUUUUGCGCAAUGGGGGAAACCCUGACGCAGCAACGCCGCGUGAGUGAUGAAGGCC